CCUACGUGAGGCAGCAGUGGGGAAUAUUGGGCAAUGGGCGCAAGCCUGACCCAGCAACGCCGCGUGAAGGAAGAAGGCUUUCAGGUUUUUAACUUCUUUUAAGAGGGAAGUGCAGAAGACGGUACAUCUUGCAUAAGCCACGGCUAACUACGUGCCAGCAGCCGCGGUAAUACGUAGGUGGCAAGCGUUGUCCGGAUUUACUGGGUGUAAAGGGGGCGCAGGCGGGGAGGCAAGCCAGGAGUGACAGCCCGGGGCUCAACCCCGGAACUGCUCUUGGAACUGCGUGGCUGGAGUGCAGGAGGGGCAGGAGGAAUUCCUGGUGUAGCGGUGAAAUGCGUAGAUAUCAGGAGGAACACCGAUGGCGAAGGCGGCCUGCUGGACUGCAACUGACGUUGAGGCCCGAAAGCGUGGGGAGCAAACAGGAUUAGAUACCCUUGUAGUC
RNAcentral lists this ribosomal RNA (442 nucleotides) under uncultured bacterium. RNAcentral's name for it is "partial 16S ribosomal RNA". It matches the Rfam family "Bacterial small subunit ribosomal RNA", at positions 338 to 795 of the family's 1533-position model. The record is from RNAcentral.